Molecule: transfer RNA, 82 nt
Filed under: Actinomycetota bacterium
Lineage: Bacteria; Bacillati; Actinomycetota
Description: tRNA-Leu
Rfam family: tRNA
About the family: Transfer RNA (tRNA) molecules are approximately 80 nucleotides in length. Their secondary structure includes four short double-helical elements and three loops (D, anti-codon, and T loops). Further hydrogen bonds mediate the characteristic L-shaped molecular structure. tRNAs have two regions of fundamental functional importance: the anti-codon, which is responsible for specific mRNA codon recognition, and the 3' end, to which the tRNAs corresponding amino acid is attached (by aminoacyl-tRNA synthetases). tRNAs cope with the degeneracy of the genetic code in two manners: having more than one tRNA (with a specific anti-codon) for a particular amino acid; and 'wobble' base-pairing, i.e. permitting non-standard base-pairing at the 3rd anti-codon position.
Source: RNAcentral
GCGGGCGUGGCGAAAUUGGCAGACGCGCCAGGUUUAGGUCCUGGUCCCGAAAGGGGUGGAGGUCCGAGUCCUCUCGCCCGCA